ACUACAUGUGGAAGAACACCAGCAGGAUUGGGAGUGACCUUCCCUUGAUGGCAGUGAUAGUUCCACAAGGACAUACUUACAUCAGUGCUGAACACUGAGUUCAUCACACCACGAAGUGUGCUGAAUCACAAGUUCACAGAGACCUUUCCAGUUCUAUUCCUUUUCCACUGUUGUCCUAAACUAUAAAGUACAGUUGGGAAAAGCAUUUUUCAAGAACCAAAUUUACAUAUUAAAUGAAAUAACCAAAAACAAGUUCAAUGUCUAGUGGCUCUAUAGAAACUAUACUAGAAAUGUUAGUUACAUAAUUUUUC
RNAcentral lists this long non-coding RNA (311 nucleotides) under Chinchilla lanigera (long-tailed chinchilla). Its description in RNAcentral is "lncRNA (ENSCLAG00000022705.1)". The record is from RNAcentral. Lineage: Eukaryota; Metazoa; Chordata; Mammalia; Rodentia; Chinchillidae.